This 500-nucleotide ribosomal RNA is filed under the name uncultured Glomeromycotina. RNAcentral describes it as "partial small subunit ribosomal RNA". It matches the Rfam family "Eukaryotic small subunit ribosomal RNA", at positions 591 to 1092 of the family's 1831-position model. The record is from RNAcentral. Lineage: Eukaryota; Fungi; Glomeromycota.
CCAAUAGCGUAUAUUAAAGUUGUUGCAGUUAAAAAGCUCGUAGUUGAAUUUCGGGGUUAGCAGGUCGGUCGUGCCAAUGGUAUGCACUGGCCUUGCUGAUUCCUCCCUCUUGAUGAGCCGUAAUGCCAUUAAUUUGGUGUUGCGGGGAAUCAGGACUGUUACUUUGAAAAAAUUAGAGUGUUUAAAGCAGGCAAGCGCUUGAAUACAUUAGCAUGGAAUAAUGAAAUAGGACGUUUGUUCCUAUUUUGUUGGUUUCUAGGAUUGACGUAAUGAUUAAUAGUGCUAGUUGGGGGCAUUAGUAUUCAAUUGUCAGAGGUGAAAUUCUUGGAUUUAUUGAAGACUAACUACUGCGAAAGCAUUUGCCAAGGAUGUGUUCAUUAAUCAAGAACGAAAGUUAGGGGAUCGAAGACGAUCAGAUACCGUCGUAGUCUUAACCAUAAACUAUGCCGACUAGGGAUCGGAUGAUGUUAAUUUUUUAAUGACUCAUUCGGCGCCUUACG